RNAcentral lists this ribosomal RNA (496 nucleotides) under uncultured Glomeromycotina. Its description in RNAcentral is "partial small subunit ribosomal RNA". It matches the Rfam family "Eukaryotic small subunit ribosomal RNA", at positions 591 to 1092 of the family's 1831-position model. Lineage: Eukaryota; Fungi; Glomeromycota. The record is from RNAcentral.
CCAAUAGCGUAUAUUAAAGUUGUUGCAGUUAAAAAGCUCGUAGUUGAAUUUUGGGUUUGGCCGAUUGGUCCGUUCUUGUAACGAGUACUGGUCGGUUGGGCCUCACCGCCUGGUGAUGCGUAAUGUCCUUUAUUGGAUGUUGCGAGUAGCCAGGACUUUUACCUUGAAAAAAUUAGAGUGUUUAAAGCAGGCUUAUGCCGGAAUACAUUAGCAUGGAAUAAUAGAAUAGGACGAUGAUUCUAUUUUGUUGGUUUCUAGGACCAUCGUAAUGAUUAAUAGGGAUAGUUGGGGGCAUUAGUAUUCAAUUGUCAGAGGUGAAAUUCUUGGAUUUAUUGAAGACUAACUACUGCGAAAGCAUUUGCCAAGGAUGUUUUCAUUAAUCAAGAACGAAAGUUAGGGGAUCGAAGACGAUCAGAUACCGUCGUAGUCUUAACCAUAAACUAUGCCGACUAGGGAUCGGGCGAUGUUGUUUCAAUGACUCGCUCGGCACCUUAUG